CUCUUUUUUUUAAUCUUAGUUUCUCACCUUUCUAGGUAUAGAGGAAAGCUUGAUGAAGUGAUUCAUCCCAACCCUGACAACCAACGAAAACACACUAGAAAACAAACAACUUCAUGUCAGCUAGUUAAAACCAGGAAAUCCUGAGUGCUCUAAACCCGUGUCAUGAUUUUGGGGGCCUGUCCUGGAUAUCUAAACUUCUGGGGUCUGAUACUGAGGACCUGGCAGCCGCUUCUCCUUGCAGGUGUGUGGAUCUUGAGACUCGCUGGAUGUCCGCCSUUGCCGGUUUCCUGCCUUUUGAAGUGCUUUCAUGUUGCUCUGGAAAGGAUUAGAGCAAAGCUUUGGUUUUAUUGGGCUGCAGGUUCACCACUGAUGUGGUCCCAAAACACUUGUGCUCAGAAACAUGGUUAUAGCGAAG
RNAcentral lists this long non-coding RNA (415 nucleotides) under Apteryx rowi (Okarito brown kiwi). Its description in RNAcentral is "lncRNA (ENSARWG00000018727.1)". Lineage: Eukaryota; Metazoa; Chordata; Aves; Apterygiformes; Apterygidae. The record is from RNAcentral.